UGGGGAAUAUUGGACAAUGGACCGAGAGUCUGAUCCAGCAAUUCUGUGUGCACGAUGAAGUUUUUUGGAAUGUAAAGUGCUUUCAGUUGGGAAGAAAAAAAUGACGGUACCAACAGAAGAAGUGACGGCUAAAUACGUGCCAGCAGCCGCGGUAAUACGUAUGUCACAAGCGUUAUCCGGAUUUAUUGGGCGUAAAGCGCGUCUAGGUGGUUAUGUAAGUCUGAUGUGAAAAUGCAGGGCUCAACUCUGUAUUGCGUUGGAAACUGUAUAACUAGAGUACUGGAGAGGUAAGCGGAACUACAAGUGUAGAGGUGAAAUUCGUAGAUAUUUGUAGGAAUGUCGAUGGGGAAGCCAGCUUACUGGACAGAUACUGACGCUAAAGCGCGAAAGCGUGGGUAGCAAACAGG
This 407-nucleotide ribosomal RNA is filed under the name bacterium. Its description in RNAcentral is "partial 16S ribosomal RNA". It matches the Rfam family "Bacterial small subunit ribosomal RNA", at positions 355 to 776 of the family's 1533-position model. The record is from RNAcentral.